GAUUCAGUGGGUGCAGUGGGUAGCACUGUCACCUCACAGCAAGGUGGUCCCAGGUUCGAAUCCGGCCUGGCCCU
This 74-nucleotide transfer RNA is filed under the name Anguilla anguilla (European eel). RNAcentral describes it as "tRNA-OTHER". Lineage: Eukaryota; Metazoa; Chordata; Actinopteri; Anguilliformes; Anguillidae. The record is from RNAcentral.